Molecule: long non-coding RNA, 306 nt
Organism: Parasteatoda tepidariorum (common house spider)
Lineage: Eukaryota; Metazoa; Arthropoda; Arachnida; Araneae; Theridiidae
Source: RefSeq, a predicted model, not a curated record
GUGGACCGCAUGCGAUGGUACAACGUGGUUUACCGUAAGCAAAGGGUCAAGUAAUGAGGGUGUUUACAACUUAGCGCCUAAAGAACUUAGAGGGAGAAGUUGCUUCACUUGCUCAGAAUUUCCAAGAAUAAAAGAAGAAUAAGGAUUGCAACAUAAAUUCUAAUAAGAAUCAUUGAUUAUUUCAUUUCAUUUCUAAACGCUUAAACAACAAGAUAUCAUUUUGACAUAAUAAAUGUAACCUGUACUAGAAUGCACGUUACAGAUAUUUGAAGGAAGCAUUACAUUAAAAAUAUGAGCCCCAAUUUA